This is a long non-coding RNA of Anneissia japonica, 2456 nucleotides long. RefSeq lists it as uncharacterized. The record is from RefSeq and is a predicted model, not a curated record. Lineage: Eukaryota; Metazoa; Echinodermata; Crinoidea; Comatulida; Comatulidae. The transcript is spliced from 3 exons.
UCGUCGUUCCAUAUCCAAAGAGCCUUCGAAUAUUUGUGGUAAACACAAAAGAAGAUGGCAAUCGCUUGGAUAUUGCUCUUUGCGACCAAACAGGUCCUAUUAAAAUGAUAUGCUACGACCAAAAGACUUUUGGUUAUGGAAAAACUAUUGUAAUCAGGAACUUUGAGAAAGGCUAUUCUUCAGCAUGUCUAUUAUUUAAACGCAAUUCAUAUGUUGCACCAGCACACAGUCUGUUAGUGCCCGAUGACAUUAAGCAACAGGCUGAGAAUCUGAUCAUGCCAAUGACAGCCCCGGUACUACACAUUAGUGAAAUUAAGAAAAUCGAUCCAGAGCACCGACAGCUAGUGAGUGUCCAGGGCACAGUAAUAAAUGACCAGGCCCCCAGGUCACUCAGAAAUAAUCAGCAAGUACGUGACAUCAGGUUGGAGCAAGAUAGCCAAGAAAUACAAGUGUCACUCUGGAACCAAAAGAGCCGGAGUCCAGUAAAAUGUAGACACAAUAAGAUGCACCAAUCUGAAUGUCAAGGAAAAUACAUUUCUUGGCGAGAUGUCACUAGGUAGCACGGCACAUAUACAACCGUUGAACUUCAAGGGAAGACACCAACGAUCCUUAACGGUAGUAUCAUCAGUGUUGGCAGCAAAGACGACACAAUGUACAAUGUCAUUGUGCAAAAAGUUGACGACCACACUCUGUUAGAUUUAAUAAUUUGCAAGACAAUAUUUAAUUUACAAUUCAAUGCAGUAAAUGAACAAAACAUAUUGGAAAAGACUGAGGAUAAAAUAUACCAGAUAAAGGUGUGCGGUACCGAAAUACAAGAGAUAGGCGAUGAAGGAACUCUAUCAAAACCUGAUGUGCCAACAGAAGUAGGCCAAGGAAAAGCAACUAAAGCUGCCCGUGCGUCAAAACCUAAAAAGAACCUGAACGUAGAACUAAACAAAAUGAUAUAACAUUUUUUUUGAACAUACACAUUUUUUAUAGACUUUACUAAAAUUCAAUAAUUUAGAGUAACUGUUUUAUGAUAUACUGUACCUUUAAUUAUUAUUGUGUUAACAUUAUAAAUUUUGUCUUACAUUCGUUAAUUUUCAUUGUCAUUUCACAAAUACUGUGGUAUUGAAUUUAUAACUGUGUUAAUACUAAGAGGUGUUUUUAUUGUUUGUAGUACUUAUUAUAGAUAGCAUUCUCCCUUUACUCUUAUAAAUAGUUAUUAUAAUGUACUGUUCCUUUAAUGAAUACUGUGAUAACAUUUGAAAAAUUUUGAAAUAAAUUCAUCUGGUUCCAAAAUAAAAUCUUUUUUUUUACCUGUACUUCUUUUUGUUGAACCAAAAAACUUGUUUAAAAGAUGCAUUGGCAUAAGGUGGGGUCUUUAUGGUGUUCAGGUAUUGAGGAUCAAAGAUCAUUAAAGGAUUAUUCUUUUGUUCUAUCCUGGUAACAUUUAAAAGUGAAACUAAUGGCAAACAAUUGGAACAAAUUUAUUCAAAUUUGGUCAUUAAGAACCGGUGGCAUUUCCUACACCCCAGGGGUCAUUGGGGUAAAAUUUCAAAAUAUCCCUAUUAGCCUAAAAUUUACCAGGAAUGAUCCUUAGGGCCUUUUAAACAUGAAAAAAAAUACUCUUUAUUCCUUAGGUCAAAGUACAUUGGUCAACGGUUCAAAAUGCCUAUAAAGGCAUAAGGCAGAGUCUAUAGGGUGUUCAGGGAUAAGGGUCAAAGGUCAUUAAGCAGUAAUUUUUAUCUUUUUUCUGGCAACAUUUCAAAACGCCAGUGCCAAACGGUUGUACCGAUUUCAACCAAACCUGGUCAGUAUAAUCGGUGACACCUCUCAUACAUGGGGGUGUUCGCUGCUUGUGGUCAAAUUUCACAUAGGGGUCAUUAGGGUAAAAAAAACUUUCAAUUCAGAGCACAAUCGCUGCUAUUCGUAGCUUCACGAACCCUUUCUGCAUAGUUGACAAAGACCACCUCUACAAUGUGUCCUCGGGAGCUCCAGUUUCCUCCGAGGUAGGUAGAACUUGGUGUGCUCCUUGCUGAAGCAGUUGGAUAGGAUGCUAAGGAAGCGUUCCUCCAAGAUUGCUUUGUGAAUGGUUCCGAGGCACUUUUUUUUAACCUAUAAAGAGGAAGAAACCAAGAACGAUGGAUGCUUCCAACAAGACAGUUAAGCUCACUGUGUCUCAAGGAAAGGUCUGUUAAGCCCCUCUCCCACUAGGGGUUUUUUCAGCAUACGAGUUACAAGAGAAUGCCGAGUUGCUAACUCGGCAAACUCGGCAAAAACUCGUAGGACGAUUCGGAAAGCUCGGAGAGGACUCUUACCUACUCGUAGCAGCUCUGAACUCGUGGCGCUAAUUUUGAACAUGUUCAAAAUUAUCGCCACGAGUAGAUAACUCGUAGUAAACUCGAAGAACUUGUUGGUAGCUCGUAAAAUACCCGGGCUACUCCUACCUAGCUCGUACACUACUCUGGAUACUC